RNAcentral lists this ribosomal RNA (482 nucleotides) under uncultured bacterium. Its description in RNAcentral is "partial 16S ribosomal RNA". It matches the Rfam family "Bacterial small subunit ribosomal RNA", at positions 29 to 507 of the family's 1533-position model. The record is from RNAcentral.
AUUGAACGCUGGCGGCAUGCCUUACACAUGCAAGUCGAACGGUAACACGCUGCCAGGUGCUGACUAGUGGCGAAGAGGGGAGGAAGGCAACGGAACGUGCCCAGAUGUGGGGGCUAACUACUCGCAAGGGAAGCUAAUACCGCAUACGAUCUAAUACUGCAUGCGGGGGACUGCAGGGCCUCGCGCGAUUGGAGGGGGCGAUGUCAGCUUAGGUAGUUGGGGGGGGAAAGGCUCACCAAGUCCACGAUCUGUCGCUGGUCUGAGAGGACGACCAGCCACACUGGAACUGAGACACGGCCCAGACUCCUACGGGAGGCAGCAGUGGGGAAUUUUGGACAAUGGGCGCAAGCCUGAUCCAGCAAUGCCGCGUGGAGGAAGAAGGCCUUCGGGUUGUAAACUGCUUUUGUACGGAACGAAAAGGCUCUGGUUAAUACCCGGGGCUAAUGACGGUACCGAAAGAAUAAGCACCGGCUAACUACGUG